AACGGCCAUACCAUACUGAAUAUACCGGUUCUCGUUAGAUCACCGAAGUCACAUGAUUGGGCGCGGUCAGUACUUGGGUGGGUGACCACCUGGGAACACCGAGUGCCGUU
RNAcentral lists this ribosomal RNA (110 nucleotides) under Caerostris extrusa. The record is from RNAcentral. Lineage: Eukaryota; Metazoa; Arthropoda; Arachnida; Araneae; Araneidae.